CAGAUUGUAUUCCAUUAAUUUUAAUAAAACAUUGCUAAAUCACCAGAAUUUUCCAUGACUACACAUCAUAAGGAUUGAUGAUAAAAUUGUUGUUAUGAGAUGUAAAGGAGCAAGAAUCACGAUACCUACUGUUCAUUUAAGAGAACAUACUUUAAUUGGAAAGUAAAUUGAAGCAUUGUAGGAUUUUUUUAAAUUUAGUUGUUUCUAGAAGAAAAUUUAAAGAUUUUAUUCAUGCGAAUUUACCUACAACCAAUUUAUGAUUGGUGACUUUUGGCUCUCAAUUGCUGUUUCACAUAAAUGAAAGCCAAACGUGGAGACAAAUGGAUAGGAACCUUCCACUGCCUUAUCUCCUUAGGGAAGGCUUUUAGGAGAAGGAAAUAAGAAAGAGAUCAGCUGAGGAAUGUCAGUUUCCAGGAGAAUGGUUAAGAGAAUGUGGUGUGGUUGUUAAGUGAGAGUAUAUUUUCAGCAUUUUUAAACUAAAGUGGCACAUGGAGGCCUUCAGAAAAGCAUGGAAAAAUAUCAAGAAAUGUGCUCGAAUAGUUCCUACAAACAAGACAACUAGGAGAAAUUUUUCACUGGCCCAAGUAAUACACUGUACCUAUAUGGCAUUCAACUUUUGAAGCAAGAAAUGCUUUUCUCAAUGGACAAAAAGGAACAUUAAAUGAGUGUUUAUUGAAGCUGUAGUAUUUCCCCAUCAGAGGCUUAUAUUGGCAAACUUCUACCACCUUAAGUAUUUAGCCAAAUUAGCUGUUACAUUUUAAAAUGCCGUAUCUUCAACCAAGCAGUAGCUUUUGUUACUGCCCUGAAUCUCUGCUAAUCAUAUAAUUUUUCACCCACUUUCUGUUUCUUGCUUUAUGAUCUUCUCCCAUCUUCUCCCCCAUAAAACACAAACAUCAGGGCCUACUGCACUAUUUCCAAUUUAAAAAACUAUAUGACCCUGAAAUCUAGAUUCUGUAGUCAGAAAGAUCCACCCUUCCCUUCAUAAAUACAGCUGCAGGUUUUUCUUUUUUUUUUUCUUAGACUGUAAGUUACAGCACAAAGAGUAUGGAAUCCAUUAUAUAGGCCUACAUAGACAAAGAGCAGUAGAAAAUUUAAUAAUUCAUCCGAAUAUUCACUAGCAAAAAAAUGCAAUGGAAAGUGGUUGGCAAAAGGUACACGGUAACAACUGAAAUGACCAAAGCUAAUGACAGCUGCCAGUUUCUCAUUUUUCUCCCAUCUCUUGGAUAUACAGCCUGCUGUGAGAGGGAGAGAGACGUUUACUGAUCCUGUCCUCCUGGUGGUAGCUAGGUUCUUCACAUUCUCUGAACACAACCGAACACCAUCCCAACCUAGCAUAUUUUCAUAAAAACGUGGAUAUGUUAUGGGUUAGAUUCACCUCUGCCUAAUCUAACUCAUUUCUACAGGCUGCACAGAACAUGGUUGUGGACUGCCACAAUUGUGUUGCUAGGAUUCCUCCCUCUCUGCGAUGAGCAUGAGGAGAAAACCUGGAAACAAGCACAUGACUCUUACUGCCAUGCAUUUUAUACUUACAUGGUUAACAUGCCUAGCAUUUUUACAAAAAAUACAUGAUAUUUGAAAAUACAGAGAAAUUGACAGUUAAAAUCGUGUAUUCCAUUGAUAGAUAAGAAAAACGAGACAUCAGGGUACUGUCAGUCACUUUUAUCACUGAUACUUUUAAAUGUGGUAUUUGGAAACUUUUGAAAAUCAAUAUAGAGCAAAUAAUAUCCGGUAGUAAUAUUGUAUUUGAGAUGUGCAAGGUGGUAGGGUCUAAUUCCUAAGGGUUGCUGAUAAUUUGACAAAAACUUUCUAUGCUAUCCAAGCAGUUGAAGGAUAUUUUGUAUACCAUGUGAUGCUCCAUCAUGCUUUGUAAUAAAAGUAAGAGCAUUUAAACAUUACACAUCUUUAAAACUAAAGACAGGAAUUUGACCAAAUGGCUUGUAUUGUCUACAGUUGCAAUUCCCAUACGCUAAUUUCCUUUUUUAUUUUAAAUUCUCAAGUCCUUAAACCUUUCACUACAGUGACCUUCUUCUUAAGCACAUGGCUUUCUCCAAAUGACAGUAGCUAGUGAGAAGAUCUGAUUCCAUACAUCUGUCAAGCUAGGUGAAGAUGGUCCAGAGUGAAAAGCUGAGUGUUUCAGAAAACUUCACAAAUAAUAAGAAGGUGUGAAUGGGCUUCAGAGUGAGAGGCAACAGUAACUUUGCUGCUUGAGGACCCUCUCACCUCUGGAAAGUGUUGAGCUCUGAACGGUGUCAUGUGUCUCAGUAGCUUAGUCCUCCCUCAAAUAUUCAGAGUUUUUAAGGUGGUGGAGAUGGAAUCCAGGGCCUCACACAUGCUGGCCUGAAACAAAGGAUUCCCCUGCCUUACCCUGCAGAGUCCAGUGGGAUUCCUGGCCUGCACCACUGUGCCUGGCUCACAUAUUCAAACUGCUGAUUGCAGGAACCCGGAGCCUGGACUGGAACCCAGAGACCUGGGCAGAGUUUGAAUUGACAGCCCGGACUCCUGAUGAGCAGUAAUCCCCCUGCUUCUGUUUCCCCGUGGCCUCCAUGCCGUGCUUUGGAAGGAGGAGAAGUCAAGCCAGAGAGACGCGACAGUGGAGAGCAAACCCUGGUGCAUUCAUGUCUCUGCCUGGCCCCUCUUCCUGUCAUUUACUUGUCUCUCAAGGCGUUUUUGUCUGUCUCCCUGCUAGAAUCUAAGUUCCAGGAGGCCAGGGAUGUUUGAUUGUCCUGUGCCUCGCUGUGUUCCCAAACCCCGGGCAGUGACUGGCACACACCUAUCGCUCAACAAAUGCUCAAAGGGGAAAAAAUGUGGGGAUAAUUGAUUUAGAAAAACGUGGGUAAUAAAGAAAAUGUUGUUGGAGAACAAGCCAUUUCAAGUCUUGAUUUACACAGGUAAAUUUAACUGGAAAAAGUUACUAAAAUAUUUCAUAGGGUUUUUCCCCAAAUUAUUAUUUUUUAUUGAUAUAUAUAGUCCAUCUACCAUUAAAAUUAACCCAUUUAAAGCAUAUGUUCCUAUGGUUUUUGGUAUUAUAGAAAGAUUUUCACUAUCUUUUUCAAAGUAUCAACUAUUACAUAUAUAAACUCAGUAUCUGAUGAGACAUGAGAACUGGCCACACAGACAUGUGAAAAAUAUCAGUUCCACCAAACGUCAUUAUUAGACAGUCUUUAGUGACUCUGACACUGAAGUCGUGAAUUGCUAAUAACUAGGGUUUUUCCGUAUGGAAAUCCACAUAAUCCUCUUUAAGUAAUUAAUCACUGUCAAUGCUUAUACUUAAACUUGUAUGAAAAAAUGAUACUCAGAUUGGUUCUGUAUGAUAAAUGCAUAUGAAAACAAUAAAAUUCUAAUUCCGAU
Molecule: long non-coding RNA, 3348 nt
Filed under: Heterocephalus glaber (naked mole-rat)
Lineage: Eukaryota; Metazoa; Chordata; Mammalia; Rodentia; Bathyergidae
Description: lncRNA (ENSHGLG00100043746.1)
Source: RNAcentral